Molecule: long non-coding RNA, 2092 nt
Filed under: Homo sapiens (human)
Lineage: Eukaryota; Metazoa; Chordata; Mammalia; Primates; Hominidae
Description: HSALNT0398853
Source: RNAcentral
GCACACCCCCGAGGCUGGCACGCACACCGGUCUCCUAGGGGACUGGCGCCUGGCCCUGCUUUUCAUCCUCUCAGGAGAUCACGUGUGGACACUGAGGCCCUUCCUCGAGCUCUUUAACCAAACCCAACCUCCCCAAUUCGCCGCCUUCCCCGCUCCCACAACCACACGUUCCCGUGUGAGGGCUUAUUGCCUCCAGCCAGCCAGCGUCCUUCGCCCCCACAUUCACGAGGUUUGGAGCCGGCCUCACCCGCGGAGGCGGACACCGCCCACCCGCGCGUGCGCACUACGCAGUCAUCCUGCGACCUCCAGAAUCCACCGGGGUGCAGCGAGGCUGUGGAAAGUCCCACCCAGAACGUGAGGUGAAGAAGGCUUGGGCUGCGCUGGUUCUGCUCUGUCCGGGUCGGAGAUGAACUGACCCGGGAGAGCAGCGGAGGGAUGUUUCUUUUGGCCAACAGUGGGGACUCACCUGCACGUUUUGCGAAGAGGCCCACAGUCCUUUGCGUGGCGCUCGGACUACAUUUCCCAACGGCCCCUGCACGCCCUGGGGGCUGUUCCAUGCGGUGUUGCGCCUGCGUAGCCGGCGGGCUGGCAGUGAGACUGACUGCGUCGGGGUUGAGACUGGGUGGAUGAGGCUCACCCCGGCGGGGAGAAGGGACGAGGAGGGGCGGACAGCGGAAGGUCCGGGAGUGUCCGCCAUAAAGUCGUUUGAGGUGACCGUUGCGUAAUUGUGAGUCUGUGAGAGAAGAUGUGAAGUAUGGCCUCGUCCCGGUCAUCUGGGCGUGCGGGUCCCGGGUUUUGAUCGCGCGUUUGUGUAGUUUUAACUUCUAGUCAUGGCGAAUGAUCGCAGGAGAGCACAGACUGGACCCUGCUACGAUCUCUCUUGGAGUGGAUCAGACUGAUGAUCACCAACAACCAACUCAUUCCCGGAUAAGGAAGAAGAGAGUGUCACCUACUUCAGUGUGGUUUCAACCCUACUUCUGCAUCUUAAAGACACUGUAUGGUUUCAGCAGUAGUGCCCCUGUUCAUUAGUCCCCCUGAUGUUUUCAUUCCUCAUCUCAUCUUUUUCUUAGCAGCAUUCAAUGAAUCCUUCAUUCUAGAAACACUCUAUAUCUUUGGUUUUCAUGAGACCAUUCUCACCUUGUUUUGUCCUGUGACUUUUUUGAAAAAAACAAAAACAAAAAACCCUUUUUUUCUUUUUAAAUUCUGGUAAAAAACACAAUGAAAAUUUGCUAUCUUAACCAUGUUGAAAUGUGCAGUUAGUAAAGUACAUUCACAUUGUGGUGCAAGCCAUCACUACCAUCCAUCACUAGAACCCUUUUCAUCUUGCAGAUCUGAAACUCUACCCAUUAAACGACUUCCCAUCUUCCCAUCCCCACAGCUCCUAGCAACCAACAUUCUACUUUCUCUAUCAGUUUGACUACUCUAGGUACCUCAUAUGAGUAGAAUCAUACAGCAUUUAUCCUUCUCUGCCUGGCUUAUUUCACUUGUAUAAUGUCCUCAAGGUUCAUUCAUGUUGUAGCAUGCAUCAGAACUUCCUCCCCUUUUAAAGGCUGGAUAAUAUUUCAUGGUAUGUUUAGAUCACAUUCUGUUUAUCCAUUCAUCCAUCAGUGAACACUUGUGCUCCUUCCAACUUUGGGCUGUUGGGUGUCCUGCCACUGUUGCUCCUAGUGCUCAAUCUCGUUUAUUCCCUCCUAAUCAAGUGUACAACGUUGGACACUGUGCAGGAUGAUGCCACUUCAUCUUGGAUGCUAAUCUGCCAUGUUGACUUCUGAUUAACCCCAGGCCCAGGAAUGCCUCAAGAUUUCUACUUUACUUACUGUUGCUUGUGUAAGCCAAGACAACCUUGAUGUUAUCAUAAACAUGUACUUACCUAAGUCCUGUCCUUUGGCAAAUUAUGGGCUAUGAGACACAGCAUUCUUGCCUUUCCCUGAGGGGUCAAUUUCAGCGAUCCUACACAUUCCUUCUGAAGCACUUAUGCUCUUUCUAUAUGGUAUGUAAGCUCUCGGUCUGGGGAGUAACAGUGCAGAGAUCUACCUGUCUUGUUGCCACAUGUUUCUAAACUUUCCAAUAAAUCACCUUCUACUGACAAACU